CAGCUCACGGUGAAACCAGAGCGGGGCGCUUCCAGAAUGUGACGGAGCUGCGAUUGGCUGGUUUGGAUCUGACGGACGCAUCGUCUCGUCUGCUGGUGCGUUACGUUCCUCACCUGACCAGGUUAGACCUGAGUCAGUGUGGAAACAUCACAGACCAGACGGUUCUCACCCUCUCCUCCCCCAUCUCCCCCUUGAGAGAGAGCCUCACCCACGUCAACUUGGCAGGUUGUGUUAAAGUGACGGAGCAGUGCGUCUCGUUGUUGCGUCGCUGCUCGUCACUGCAGACGGUCGACCUUCGCUCCUGCUCGCUCCUCUCGUCUGAGACUGGACAGCUUCUCUCCUUCCCCUCCCACAACUCCUCCUCCUCUUCCUCUGCCACAGUCGCUGCCUCCUCCUCCUGCCCUCCUGACGACAGAACGCUGAUGAAGAACAGUUAAAGUCUGUGCCACCUGACAGCCCCGCCCCCCACCUCCUUACACUACAGACAGGGGAGGAAGAGGAGGAUAUAUUUUUGCGAUGACAUUGUGGGUCAUAGUAAAACAAUAGAAACUCUGAGCAUGUACAUAUUUGUUCUCUGUAUAAUUCUGGCUGUGUGUAAAUAUCUGUAGUUUACUGUAAAUUACCUUUAACCUUUGGACCCCAACACACUCCUCCCCCUCCCUCCUCUCCGUCUAUCCUUCCUUCUGUCUACCCUGCGACCAAUCGUCACGCUGAUGUCCACCUGCUCGUCCGCAGCCGCACGACAGGAUGUUCACCCCCGGACACACCCCCACAGGAAGUGAGAGUUAUAGGUUGGGGACCGUAUCGACUUAUAGAAAAGUUGCAGCUAACAGUUUCCCUCCGCUUCCAGUGUUUGUGCUAAGCUAGGCUAUCUUGAGAUCUGGUGCAGUUCAAUGAGCGGACGAAUCACAUUCAGAUGAUCCUGAUGUGUCGCACCUCAGGUUCCUGUUCAUGUUGCUAUCACGUGAUGUCACCUGGCCUCAUGCUGACGGCCCGGCUGUUUCGGUCCGAGCUGCGUCUGUGAGCCAAUGACCUGACUUUCCGUGUUCAGGUGGAACUGGCAAACGAGUUUAAUUGACAUCAAUCCUUUUUCAUUUCAAACGAAAGUGACCAAUCAAAUGAGAGACUUGGCAUGUAGCAAUGGUCCCUGACUGGACGCUCACUGGGGAAGUCGUGGUUGAGAGGUUGCCACCAGGGGGCGCCUGUGAGCCUGUGGUGGAUGUUGUUACAUCAGUUUUUCCUGCAGCUUGAGAGAUGAUGUACAUACGAAAGUUUAGAUAUGUUUAUAGAACAAAAGUAUCAAACCUGUGCAACACGUUGCCACAGUCGAGUCAAACAAGUUCAUUCAUGAACGUACCUCAUCACUUCCACCAUCCAAUCAGAGACUGAGCGUGUGCGUGCGUGUGCGUGCGUGCGUGCGUGUGUGUGUGUGUGCAGUACGAGCAGGAGUUCAAACCAUAAGAAGGGACUGUGCUUUAUUUGGAUCGGCCCCUCAUCACCUCCGUCCUGCAGUCAACUUUCACAAGCUCAAAAAAAUAACCUUCAAAGCUCCGCCCACAGUGACAUAUAGCUUUAAAGUUGUUGCUAUGGUUACAUCUGGAGUUCUCCAGCCUCUGGAUCAGAGACUCGUGUGAACUGAUCUCGUUUUAUUUUGAAAACUCUGGUUUUGUGUUUUAGUCUGAACACAAACUGAGACUUUAGGAAACGGUGACGCCCACGUCCUCUUCUGAUUGGUUCUCAUCAGUCACAUGACUCGACUACCAGCGGUGAACACAAAGCGUCGCUAACACUUCCUGUCAGUGACAGCUCCACCUCGUCCCUGCUCUGACUCUUCACCAUCACUGCUCCUCCUUCAGAGGAGUUUCUGUUGCUAAGCAACCAACUGCUGAGGAGACAAUCUACUUCCUGUUUACAUUACAUGACCAGUGGACGUGAACGGUCAUGUGACCUGUGUUUUCAGGCGUGUUGGUGUGUCAGAGAUUAUUACUCAUGCGUCUCUGAAACACUCACCUGAACAGAGGUUUUUUUCAAUUUGAAAUGAAAAGGAAUCGGUGUGGACGCAGCCUGAAGGGUCUAGAUUCACGGUGAGGGAGGUUAGCGCCCCGUCUGGUCACCUGACAUGUCAACAACCUGUGCGCUCUUAACCUCCACAGGUUCCCCCAGUGGUGAACGUUGGAGUUGUUCUGUGCUUGUGAAAGACAACGUUUUCCCUCUGCUACAUUCUUUGUGCUAACCUACGGUAGCAGUUUCCCCCUGCUUCCAGUCUUUAUGCUAAGCUAACUGGAACAGAUCCAUCUUUGAAACAUAAAUUGUGGGAUUGUUCCUUUAAACGACUCGCUGGCUGUUGAGUGGGCGGCGCCGCAGUGUGGUUCAAGGUGUGUGUGUGUGUGUGUGUGUGUGUGUGUGUGUGUGUGUGUGUGUGCCUCCACGUCUUCAACAUUCGCCUCAAUCACUCAUGUUUGUUCUUUGUUUUUUACAUCUGCUCUGUUUCCCUCCAUCGUCGCCUCCGAUCAGAUUCUUCAUCAUUGAUCGGUGAUUGAUUGUUUUUUCUCAGGAGUCUUUAGUUUUUUCUUUACGUCAGGUUUUUAUUUAUUUUUUUCGUGUCAGCUUCCAUCCUGCUGAAUCUGAACUCGGAUGUUUCACACUCGUCAGUCUUAAAGAAUCUGUCUCUUUCUGUUUCUACGCGAUGACAUCACUUCCUGUUUUGCUGCAUUCUUUAGAUUGAAUUUUUUUAUGGAAGCUCAAGUCUGCCCGGUAAAAGAAAAACAAAACAAAGAAGAUGAGAGACAUAUUUUCAUAUUUUAAUUCCUCAUCUUCAGUUAUUGUCUUUUUAAAUAAAAAUUAUUCAAACUUCUUAGUUUUACUUAAAUUUGAGUCAAAAGACACAAUUCUGAAUUUUCUUUUGUUUUCAUGGCUGAAUUGAGCUUCUGUAGAAUAAAGGGGCCUCGCUUUUGAAAAGUUCACCACAGCAUAAAAAUCUUUUAAACAAAAUCAAAUUAUUGUUGUGACGCAUUAAAGUAAGAAAAUAUGAGACGGGAUGCGGUCGUGAAUUCAGACGUUUCAUAAACAACGAGCCGAUGUUUGUGACGUGAUGGAAACUCUGAGUCACAGCGAUCUGAUUGUUCACGUGUGAACUGGCUGCUCAAAAUGCGAUGGACUACAGUCCCCAACCAAACAAGUCUCCCUCUGCUGGCCGACAUAAUAGAUAACUGAUGCUACGUUAGCCUCGUUGUUGCACCACAUCCGCUGCUCUGUCGUCAGACGACCUGAAACUCGACAAAACAUAAAGAUGAAAUUAUUUCCUGAAAAUGGAUGCUCUUUAGAGACCUGUGUUACAAGCAUGAUAGCAAUCCUGGCUAACAUGCUAACAACACAGAUUGAGAUUAUGUCGAGGUCUGAAAUAAUCAGUUGAUCAAUUGUUUUGUAAACAAAGUUAAAUUGAAUUGACUACCGCUUUGAAAAUGGAUCAACUGUUAAAAAACACUUUGGCGAUGCCGUUGGUUCAGUUGAUUUUCUUUAUUUCGCUCUGUUAAUCAUAAAAGCUUCAUACCAUUAGUAGUUAUUGUUCAUUUUAAUAAUCGUCAUCAACGGAUCAUGGAACCGGAGCCACAGGGACCCCUGGUGUUUAUCUGCAAAAUAACCUCCAUAGGGAAGACACUCCCAUCUGCCGUCUGAGUUGAGGAUGUGGGCCUUUCACAUGGGGGGGCACAGGGCCCGUGAUUGGUCCAUGAGGUCGUAAAGAAGCAGCAGGUUGGUGUUGACGUGUGACAUAGUCCAUGAAUCGACACCAUCGGUGGUUACAAUUCAAAUAGCCCUCACGCCGUGUCGACGCCAUGUUGUGCCAUAAACUCACCAGAUCCACGUGUCACAGUGUAAACAUGUGAGUGGGUCAGUUUUUAUUUUUGUAUUCUGUUGUGAUUCAUUUUUUUACUGUAAUGUUUCGCUCUGUCCCGCUGAUGAUGCUUCACGUUUCACCUAGCAGCAAGUGAGGAGAUCAAAUGGGAUUGGACUAUAAUCUCUGACUCCUGAAAGCUCUUAUCCAAUCAGAUGUCUGACAUAUCUUAGUAAAAAGUGAGCGGGUGUUUUAAAGAUGCACUGGAUCAUCAUCAUGUUUUGCCAAAUGUACUUUUGUUGUGAAAAUGGGCAUUUUAACGUUUGUUACUUUGUUUUGUUCCUUUUUCUUCUUUGUAUCGAUUCUUCUGUUGUUGAUGAAAAAAUGAAGAAGUUGAACAAAAAGUAAAAAGAGACAAAAAGAAAAACUCAAGGCAGCUACGUACGAGAGACUACUGUAAAACCACCGACCAAUAAAGAAGCAAUGGGUUUGUUUUUA
Molecule: non-coding RNA, 4330 nt
Organism: Paralichthys olivaceus (Japanese flounder)
Lineage: Eukaryota; Metazoa; Chordata; Actinopteri; Pleuronectiformes; Paralichthyidae
Source: RefSeq, a predicted model, not a curated record